Molecule: ribosomal RNA, 596 nt
Filed under: Bacillus thuringiensis
Lineage: Bacteria; Bacillati; Bacillota; Bacilli; Caryophanales; Bacillaceae
Description: bacterial SSU rRNA
Rfam family: Bacterial small subunit ribosomal RNA
Source: RNAcentral
CGGAGCGAAUGGAUUAAGAGCUUGCUCUUAUGAAGUUAGCGGCGGACGGGUGAGUAACACGUGGGUAACCUGCCCAUAAGACUGGGAUAACUCCGGGAAACCGGGGCUAAUACCGGAUAACAUUUUGAACUGCAUGGUUCGAAAUUGAAAGGCGGCUUCGGCUGUCACUUAUGGAUGGACCCGCGUCGCAUUAGCUAGUUGGUGAGGUAACGGCUCACCAAGGCAACGAUGCGUAGCCGACCUGAGAGGGUGAUCGGCCACACUGGGACUGAGACACGGCCCAGACUCCUACGGGAGGCAGCAGUAGGGAAUCUUCCGCAAUGGACGAAAGUCUGACGGAGCAACGCCGCGUGAGUGAUGAAGGCUUUCGGGUCGUAAAACUCUGUUGUUAGGGAAGAACAAGUGCUAGUUGAAUAAGCUGGCACCUUGACGGUACCUAACCAGAAAGCCACGGCUAACUACGUGCCAGCAGCCGCGGUAAUACGUAGGUGGCAAGCGUUAUCCGGAAUUAUUGGGCGUAAAGCGCGCGCAGGUGGUUUCUUAAGUCUGAUGUGAAAGCCCACGGCUCAACCGUGGAGGGUCAUUGGAAACUGGGA